This 816-nucleotide long non-coding RNA is filed under the name Mytilus galloprovincialis (Mediterranean mussel). The record is from RNAcentral. Lineage: Eukaryota; Metazoa; Mollusca; Bivalvia; Mytilida; Mytilidae.
CCAUCUACAUCGUCUGUCUGCUAAGUACCGAAACGUGACCUAUUUCGAAUAUGACUGUUUUGCCGAUUGAAAAUUCGCAUGCUAUACGACGUGUUUCGGUAUUUAUAGAUCCAACAUUCAUGUAUUUAGUUAUUAUGUUUCUUUUCUAAGUACGGUUAGAUAUUGUGUUUUAUUAUACUUCAUGUCAAAAUUCCAGAUUUUGAUUGGUUGAUAACAGGGAGACAAUUUACUCUAUCUCAUGGCAAACACUCUAUUACCCUUCACAGAGACGCUUGAUCGAGUGUGCGCUUUAAUAAAUACGGAUGAUUGGUAUUGAUUUUUCACAAGACGUCACAGCUUAUUUCUUUGAAUUUGAAAUUUAAUAGACAGCAAUAACAGAACAUUCAGUAUAAUAAAUUAAAUAACACAUAUCUGAGAGAGUGAUAGAGCAGAUUGUUACUCCUCGAAAAGACAUUGUCAAUCUUGGCUUGAAAUUUUAAGACUGCGAUUUUUUUUUUGGGGGGGGGGGUAUAAUGCAUAAACAGAGCAUGACUUGCAAAUAAGUGUGAUUUUGUUAUACCCCGCACAAUUCUGAAUUUGAGAAGGUUAUAUUAGCUAACUAUUUCAUUUAACAAAGAUGUAACUUAAUAGAAAACCGGAUUUCCAUUUUAAACCGAAUGUGAAUAUAUGUCAGCUGUGCUAAGGUUCUAAAUUUUGAUCGAAACAUUUAUCAAGUGCGUCAUUAAAUAAAUAAAAAACCUGCGAUGCACUUUCAACAAGGACGGGUAUAUGAUACUGAUCGCGUGAUUAUAUAAGAAAACAAAAUAUCACUUUACA